AAUUCGAUGCAACGCGAAGAACCUUACCUGGUCUUGACAUCCCGGAGACCCUUAGGAAACUAGGGGUGCUUCCAUCUGGAAGAAUCUGGAGACAGGUGCUGCAUGGCUGUCGUCAGCUCGUGUCGUGAGAUGUUGGGUUAAGUCCCGCAACGAGCGCAACCCUUGCCUUUAGUUGCCAGCAGUUCGGCUGGCACUCUAAAGGGACUGCCGGUGUUAAACCGGAGGAAGGUGGGGAUGACGUCAAGUCCUCAUGGCCUUUAUGACCAGGGCUACACACGUACUACAAUGGCCGAUACAAAGGGCAGCGACACUGCGAGGUGAAGCCAAUCCCGUAAAAUCGGUCUCAGUCCGGAUUGGAGUCUGCAACUCGACUCCAUGAAGUUGGAAUCGCUAGUAAUCGUGGAUCAGCAUGCCACGGUGAAUACGUUCCCGGGCCUU
Molecule: ribosomal RNA, 438 nt
Filed under: uncultured Desulfobulbus sp.
Lineage: Bacteria; Pseudomonadati; Thermodesulfobacteriota; Desulfobulbia; Desulfobulbales; Desulfobulbaceae
Description: bacterial SSU rRNA
Rfam family: Bacterial small subunit ribosomal RNA
Source: RNAcentral